Small nuclear RNA from Psammomys obesus (fat sand rat), 107 nucleotides. NCBI's taxonomy places the organism in Eukaryota, Metazoa, Chordata, Mammalia, Rodentia, Muridae. The record is from RefSeq and is a predicted model, not a curated record.
GUGCUCGCUUCGGCAGCACGUAAACUAAAAUUGGAACGACACAGAGAAAAUUAGCAUGGCCCCUGCGCAAGGGUGACACGCAAACUCAAGAAGUGUUCCAUGUCUGU